Long non-coding RNA from Felis catus (domestic cat), 3778 nucleotides. RefSeq lists it as uncharacterized. NCBI's taxonomy places the organism in Eukaryota, Metazoa, Chordata, Mammalia, Carnivora, Felidae. The record is from RefSeq and is a predicted model, not a curated record. The transcript is spliced from 3 exons.
UUCUUGGUCCAGCCACAGGUAAUGAGGAUAUACUGCUUCUGUGUUGAGGAAGAGUGUCCUAAAGGUUCUGGCAAUUUGCACCAGGCUGGCAGAAAAUUCCUAUAAAUACCAUCUGAAAUGUUGUCAAGCACAUGGACAUGCUAAUAGGAAUACUGUAACAGCAUUCAUCUGUGCAAAAUUAAUGCCAGAGGUAUUUUUUUUGCAUUUUGUUUUGAGUCCUAGAAUAAAAGGGAAAAAAAGGGUUUUUUUUAUUGUUUUCUUGACACUAAAAAAUGAGACCAUGGGUCUAACGAACAGUCAAAGAAUGAAUACUAUGUAUUAGAGCCAGAGGCAAAAGAAAAUCGAUGUGAGUAGGCUCAAGUAGUAGGGCUUUCAGAGGUUCUUACAAAGUCUCUCUCCCUAAAGAACACUUCGUGAGUUUCAAAGCAAAUAUAAGACACUAAAGAAAAGGAACUGGGGAAAUUCUCUAAGCUUGGCUCUGGUCUCCUUCCUGAUGUUGACUCAGAUGAACUCCCCUCGGAGUCAAAAAGUGGGCUACUGUGCUACCCAGAGGGCAUCCUGAAUGUUUGGCCACUUGUAAGUGAUGGAUUAGACCUCAACAAAAACCAAAUAACUAGUAUUUAUAAAGCGCCUUUCAACCAAAAAGCUCAAAACGCAAUUACAAGCAUCAUCUCAUUAAUCCUCAAAACACACCUUUGGGGCUAAAGAAAAAAGAACUAUUUAUAUACUAUGAGCUUGAUCCUACCAUGUGCCAAGGAAAUAAAUUAAUCUCUUGGAGGAGAAAACUGAUCAACUGGGGGAAGUGAAUUAACAGACUAAGAGCACAAGGGCAUUAUUAAGUAAGCAAGAUUCUCCAGACUUAGUUGGGUGGUUCUGUGAGCCAAGGGAUCCACCUUUCCCAAGUGAUGAGAUGUUUGCUUCUGGAAAGCAGUGUGGGUCACCCAGGCAUACCCUAACUUGGCCAAGGAAUCUUACUAUCUCAUGUGUAUUGGAAAUGUUCAGGAAUGUAAGACAUAUGUGGAAAACCAUACUAUUCCCUUCCUGUAUCAAAGUAAUUUUGUAUCAAUUCACCAUUUCUAGGCUACUGGAGUUAAGCUGUUGAAGCAAAGAUGGCUCAAACAUGAACGAAAAGAGCAUUGGCUGUGGAGUCUGAGAGACUCUGGGUGAAAUCCUAUCUCAGACAUUUACCAUUUCUGUGAACUUGAACAAUUUACUUACUUUAGAUGACUAGAGUUUCUUCACUUAAAAAAAAAAGAAGAUAAUAAUAACCUUUAUUGCAAGGUUUUAUACAAAUUAAAUGCAAUAAUCCAGGAAAGAGCUUAGUUUAGGAGGUGUUCAAAGAGGUUGAGAAUGGGGAGAGUUUACGAUUUAUUUUAAUUCUCAGGAUCUUUCCCUAACACAUGUUGGGAGAUGAGGACCAUGGUAGAGAUGUAACCCUGGUCAAUGUCCAGGUAUCCAAGUGACCAUGUCUCAAUUCCUUAACCUUUGUUCCUGGCUGAGGGAAGCUAGUAUUAUAUCAUAAGGACACGUAAGCCCUUUGGAGAGACCUACAUGUUCAAGGACCUGAGGCUACCAGACCCUCCAUGCCUAUGUAAGUCUUGAGAUGACUGCAGACCCAGUUGCGAUCUUGAUGUCAACUCAUCAGCCACCUUGAUCCAGAUCCAGUCAACUAAGUUGCUACCAAAUCCUGAACCUACAGAAACUGUGGAAUGGGCACAUUAGCAAACAGGAUGUAAGUGGAGUUUUGAACAGCCUUGGCAUGAUAGUGCUGCCCUCUCACGCCGCUGAAGCCCGAGACUGCCAUAUCAAGAAAGCCAAAACCAGUCUCAGCUCCUGGAGGAUGAGAGAUCAUGAGAAGAAAGACCCCAGCCAUCCAAGCCACUCCUCCAGUUUAGCUGAGGCCCCAAACAUGUGAGGGAGGCCAUCAAGACCAUCUAGCUCCAUCCAAGCCAACCAAAAAACACACCUAUAAGACCCACAGACACAUGAGCCAAUCAGUAACAAAGGUUUGGAACGAUUCUGUUAUUCAGAUACAGCCAGGGAGUUGGGAAAUCCAGCAAGGACUGGGAAGCAGAGAUUGGGUAAAUGAAGCAGCUUCCUGUGUGAGGGUUUCCAUCAAGGACCAACAGAAAGAGGGGGAGGUGCUCAGCUGCUAUCUGUGGAGUCAGAGGAGCUUGUGUGGUGCAAGCCUUAGGGGUCCUGGAAUGGAGACAGGAAGGCAUCAGGACCUGCUACCUAUAUUUAGCCCUCUUGUUCAUUCUUAAGAGAUAAUUAUCUAUUCGAAGGAAAGGGAUGCAGUAACACAGCUCCUCAGAGGAGAGGGACAGGUCAGGAACCUGAGGAAGCCGGGACAGGGCAGGCAAACCAGAGAAGCGCUGAUACUUCUCUGGUCCCCAUUUCUAGCUUGGACCAGAUUAAGAGUGGGAGGGUGGUGGGGCUGACUCUAGAGGUAACAAGGGGCUAUUCAGCAACUUAUGUAACCUCCUGUCAUCAUUAUUCAAAUGAGGGGUAGAUAGAGGCUUGUAAGAAAGGCAGGCUGGACUUAAUGGCAAGAUGUUCUGGAACUGUAGCCCCUACCUACCAAUGGAUUUUUUUUUUUUUUUUUUUUUUUUUUUUUUACUCAGUAAAGGAUUCCGCGGGGAAUAGAAAAGGAUUGCCUUUUUUUCUGAGCUAACAUCGCCUUUACUCCCAUCCCUUACUCCAACCUUCGAACCAAAGCAAACCAUUGAUGUUCCUGCAGGAUAUGAAUAAUCACUGAUUACAAAUAGCGUUCCUGAGGUUUAGAAUAGAAAGAUCCGCUUCACCACACUCCCUACUAAUACAAGACAAUAAAAACAAAGCAAAACACUGAAUUGAAGACCAAAACCAGACAAAACAACAUUCCCACCUUGCAAUUUUGGCUUUUAAAAAGCAGGCCCUGCCUUUUCAACUCCUUUUAAAGCUAAUGGAUCGGCGAAAAGUGACCUUCAUAAACUCACUGAGGAGAGUUUAGAAGUUAUUUUUCCAGGACUUAAUAGCUGGUGUCAGAAUUGUAUUACGUUAGCAUGGCAGUUGGAUUGUAGAGAGAAGCAUCAAAACAAUCAAAAGCUAAGGGAUUAAAUAAAGAGUAAGAACAACUAACAUCUAGAUGUUUUGACUGACAACUCCAAUGACACAUAGUUGUCAAUAAUUAGAAGUAUGUCAUGUUUUAAGUCACAACUCGAGUAUUAGCUCAAAUUGUAAAUGUAUUGGCCAGAAUAGCAAUUUCUUAAAAGAAAAUCAGUUUUUUUUAAUACUUUUAAGAAAGUGGUCAACAAUUCUGCAAUAUUAUCCAUACAUUUAAAAUAUUUACCUAGAACCCAGACUCCUCUAUCCUGCAAGUGAAUAUCAGUUCUUGAGGGCAUGUUUUGUUGCUGUUGCUAUUGUUCGGUAUGAAACUAUAAUCACCUUACAAACAAGAUUUAAAGAAAAAUAUUUUCACACCAUCCUACUUCCACAAUCCCUUUUCUAACACAGAGUGACAUGAAAUACUGACACAUAUUAAGUGCUCAAGAAUAUUCAUGAAAUUGAUGACUAGACUACUGCUACCUCAAACAGAGGCAGGUGCUCUGACUCCAAUAAAUUAUUAACUUAUUAUCUUUGAAAGCUUAAAUGAUUACCAAGGUUCUUAUAACCUCUUAAAACCUACAAAUUUGAAAUAUAUUAAUAAAAUAUUAAUAACUCUCCCUUCUUUUAACUAUUUAAUAUAAAAUAUUAAAUAACAUGAUAUUAAAUCUUGGUUAUCUGAGGACUAUCUAAA